AUACGGAGGAUCCGAGCGUUAUCCGGAUUUAUUGGGUUUAAAGGGUGCGUAGGCGGCCUUUUAAGUCAGCGGUGAAAGUCUGUGGCUCAACCAUAGAAUUGCCGUUGAAACUGGGGGGCUUGAGUAUGUUUGAGGCAGGCGGAAUGCGUGGUGUAGCGGUGAAAUGCUUAGAUAUCACGCAGAACCCCGAUUGCGAAGGCAGCGUGCCAAGCCAUGACUGACGCUGAUGCACGAAAGCGUGGGGAUCAAACAGGAUUAGAUACCCUGGUAGUCCACGCAGUAAACGAUGAUCACUAGCUGUUUGCGAUACACUGUAAGCGGCACAGCGAAAGCGUUAAGUGAUCCACCUGGGGAGUACGCCGGCAACGGUGAAACUCAAAUGAAUUGACGGGG
This 393-nucleotide ribosomal RNA is filed under the name uncultured bacterium. RNAcentral's name for it is "partial 16S ribosomal RNA". It matches the Rfam family "Bacterial small subunit ribosomal RNA", at positions 523 to 918 of the family's 1533-position model. The record is from RNAcentral.